CAGCCGCCGCGGUAACACGUAGGGUGCGAGCGUUAAUCGGAAUUACUGGGCGUAAAGCGUGCGCAGGCGGUUGUGUAAGACAGGUGUGAAAUCCCCGGGCUUAACCUGGGAACUGCGCUUGUGACUGCACAGCUAGAGUAUGGCAGAGGGGGGUGGAAUUCCACGUGUAGCAGUGAAAUGCGUAGAGAUGUGGAGGAACACCGAUGGCGAAGGCAGCCCCCUGGGCCAAUACUGACGCUCAUGCACGAAAGCGUGGGGAGCAAACAGGAUUAGAUACCCCAGUAGUCCCUGUCUCUUAUAC
Molecule: ribosomal RNA, 301 nt
Filed under: uncultured bacterium
Lineage: Bacteria
Description: partial 16S ribosomal RNA
Rfam family: Bacterial small subunit ribosomal RNA
Source: RNAcentral